Molecule: ribosomal RNA, 202 nt
Filed under: uncultured bacterium
Lineage: Bacteria
Description: partial 16S ribosomal RNA
Rfam family: Bacterial small subunit ribosomal RNA
Source: RNAcentral
GCAGGCUGCAACCCGCCCUGCAUGAAGUUGGAGUUGCUAGUAAUCGCGGAUCAGCAUGCCGCGGUGAAUACGUUCCCUGGCCUUGUACACACCGCCCGUCACACCAUGGGAGCCGGUAAUACCCGAAGUCAGUAGCCUAACCGCGAGGGGGGCGCUGCCGAAGGUAGGAUUGGCGACUGGGGUGAAGUCGUAACAAGGUACC